Molecule: long non-coding RNA, 371 nt
Filed under: Mytilus galloprovincialis (Mediterranean mussel)
Lineage: Eukaryota; Metazoa; Mollusca; Bivalvia; Mytilida; Mytilidae
Source: RNAcentral
UUUGUGCUUUUUAAUAAUUUUCCCUGCUUUAUUGAAUAUUAUAAUUUUGGUUUUAUUAAGAUUAACAGAUAGAUUCCAUUUUUCACAAAAUAUAUUUAAUUUAUCUAAAGCAUUUUGUAGGCCAGAUGCAGAUUCUGAUAUUACUACUAAAUCGUCUGCAUAAAGAAGACAAGACACUUGUGUAUUAUCAAGGCAUGCCGGAUCACAUUUGUGGUCAAACAUUUCAACCAGUUCAUUUAUAUACAAUGAAAAUAAUGUAGGGCUUAAUAUACACCCCUGUUUUAAUCCUACACAUGAGGGAAACGUUUGUGUUAGUCCCUCUUUUAAUUUUACAGAGAAAGAUACAUCUUUGUACAUAUCUUUUAAAAUAU